Molecule: long non-coding RNA, 772 nt
Filed under: Serinus canaria (Common canary)
Lineage: Eukaryota; Metazoa; Chordata; Aves; Passeriformes; Fringillidae
Description: lncRNA (ENSSCAG00000003692.1)
Source: RNAcentral
AAAUAGAAUAAUGCAUUUAUGUAAUUAGAAUGUCUUUUUGUUGCUCUGAAGAAAUUGGGUUGCUCUAUGAUAGUUUUCUGUUUCUUCCCUGUGCAGAAAGUAGGAACCUUCGUGAUAGUUUUCCGUGUAGUAAUGAAGGCUGUGAUGGAGGAGGCAGAAAAUGUGGCGACAUCUAGGGAAAGGUUGGCAGAAGUGCCUCUGUCAGAAACACCUCCCACUGCAACUGUGGCCACUUCAGCCCAGUCCCUUUGUCCAGAGCAGUGCUGGUGGCAUAUUGCUGUGACCCCAUUGCACCAGUCACCCCCCAGGAUGCACUUCCCCAGGGAUGGAUCCUGGUCCCUGUGCUGUGUCAGCCAGGAGAGGAGAAGGACAGACCCCUGCUGUCACCAAGGACACCCCAAAUCUCUCCUGAGCCUCGUCCAAAAAGAUAUCUUGCACAGAGGAAUAAUUGUGCUAUAUUCUGAAGGGAAUGAAUGACAGAGUAUCUAAGAUCAUACAUCUAAGUCUCCGUGAUGUGGAAACUCCAGUAUGGACUGUAAUCCAAGAUCAGGAAGGAGACAAUGCAUUGCCAUGUGAAACACAACGCAGAUCAAAAUAAGUUUUCAGUGUGCCACCAAAACCACAGUAUUAGGUUUCUGUUAAGGAGAAUGAGUAAUACCAUUCUAGCUGUAAAGGUUGCUGUGAGUGGGUAAUAAUUCCAUCUAACUGAUAGAGCAGAUUGUGUAUUCUGCAAGUAAAUAAAUAAUCCCAGGCAAAAUCUUUCCCUAUUUCU